AUUGAACGCUGGCGGCAGGCCUAACACAUGCAAGUCGAGCGGAUGAAGGGAGCUUGCUCCUGGAUUCAGCGUCGGACGGGUGAGUAAUGCCUAGGAAUCUGCCUGGUAGUGGGGGAUAACGUCCGGAAACGGGCGCUAAUACCGCAUACGUCCUGAGGGGGAAAGUGGGGGAUCUUCGGACCUCACGCUAUCAGAUGAGCCUAGGUCGGAUUAGCUAGUUGGUGGGGUAAAGGCCUACCAAGGCGACGAUCCGUAACUGGUCUGAGAGGAUGAUCAGUCACACUGGAACUGAGACACGGUCCAGACUCCUACGGGAGGCAGCAGUGGGGAAUAUUGGACAAUGGGCGAAAGCCUGAUCCAGCCAUGCCGCGUGUGUGAAGAAGGUCUUCGGAUUGUAAAGCACUUUAAGUUGGGAGGAAGGGCAGUAAGUUAAUACCUUGCUGUUUUGACGUUACCAACAGAAUAAGCACCGGCUAACUUCGUG
Molecule: ribosomal RNA, 484 nt
Filed under: uncultured bacterium
Lineage: Bacteria
Description: partial 16S ribosomal RNA
Rfam family: Bacterial small subunit ribosomal RNA
Source: RNAcentral